UAGCCAGCUAGAAGACAGGAAGACAAAAGAGAGACAACUGUCAGUAUUUUACGAGGCAACAUUUUCAGAACAAAAUGAGUUAGAUCGUACUCUCAGAAGAGAAAUUUUAAAAAAUGUGAACAUAUCACACAAAUGAAAUACUCUUUGAGCAAUAAUUUUAAAACAUAAUUGCUAUUUGAUACCUUAAAAUAUUACUCGCAAGAAAACUAUUGCUUGCCUUUGCUCUUUUAUAGUACCAUUCACAAGACACCUCUGGUGGUGUCUCAGAAUGACUUAGAAUUUUUUCUGAGCAACACAUUUCUCAAUGAAGUUUAAAGUCUUCUGAGUUUAAACCAGGCUGUAAAACAGUAUUACAACACUGUGACUAUAUUAUAUUGCAGUGUGCAAAAAAACAUAAAAGUCAAGCUACAUAGCAAACAAGAGACAGUCCAUGUAAUGAACAGAAACUGUAUCAAUGGUAAACAAUGCUGCAACACCUUACAAUCCUAAAUAAAGUGAACAGGUGUGAACCUGAGUUUGUAAGAGUGUGAGUGCAAGUCCAUGUGUAUGAUGAAAACGUGAAUGAGAGAGGGGUAUAUGGGGAGGGGGGGGGGGGACAAAGAGAGACAUUACUUGGCCAUGUUACAUUGCUGUCGCAGAUAUUUAUCCUUUAGGUUACAAGUACAAUUGGCUUUAAAUGAAAUGUCAUCUUUAACAAAAAAUUUCCUUUUUUUAUUGAUAUCUUUAAUCUCAAAAGGGCCUAUAGUUCUUUUGCUCUUUUCUUUUCAUACAAUGCAAGAAAAAUUGUUCUAUAUUAAUACCUCAAGUUCAAGGUGUUUAAUCUUUUCUGUCAGCUGACCUUCUGAUAAUGCACUUCCCUUCUUCUCAACCUGAAAAAGAACAUUAAGACAGGCUAGUUCGCCAUAUAUAUAUAUACAAUCUUCACAAAAAGUUUAGGACCAGUCAGGAUAAUAGGUAGUAUUUUUAAAAAAUCAUUAAAAAAUAAUCAGAUUUAUCUUGUAAAAAUUUAGGAGCAAGGUUAAGGGGUCAGCAGUGAAUAGGGUAACCACUGUGUGGCUGGCACGUAUGUGGCAUGCUUGGCGCGAGUGAAAAUCUGCAAUUUCAGCAAAACUGGACCGAGUUUCAAACGUCAGUGAGGUAUACCAGGGGCUUUCUGCAUUGCAAAAACGAGAUGCACGUAGAAGAAUGCACUUCUGGCUACGAGCUGAGCUCACUUGUCUGCCUACAUAAGCCACCGUUUCAGCUCUGUUUUACAGUAUUACCGCGCCAAGCCCCAUGCCACCACGACAAAAAUUGAACGACUUCGACAGGACCCGAGCAAUUGCCUGGCUCCAGGAUGGAGUUGACAUACGCAAAGUGUCACGCAGACUUCAGGUAUCACACUCCACCAUCAUACGGCUGAGGGAGUCCUGGAGCGGCAUCAUACGGAUGGUCCCAAGAAUACAACAGCAAGAGAGGACCACUACAUCCAACGCCAAGCAAUACAGCAGCAAACUAGCUCUGCCAGCGUCAUCAGGCGACGUCUACGAGCUGCUACCUACACCACAGUCUGUUCGCAGACAAUAUGUAAUCGCCUUUAUGACGUCAACCUUCGUGCGCGUCGUCCAGUCAAAAAAACUAAGCUGACCAAGAACAAGCGUGGCAAAGUUUCAAAUCUGGUGCACUGCACACCAGAGGCGGACAUGUCCCCAGUGGACAGAGGUCCUGUCCACUGAUGAAUCUCGGUUCUAUCUGACACCCAGUGAUGGCCAAACCCGCAUCUCGAGGCAUCCAUGGGAGAAACUUGCUGCCAAUGCAGUUCAAGAAGUGGUCCCGUUUGACUGCCUUGCCGUGAAUGGUGGGCACACGCACUUCUGACAAUUCCAUUGGCAUUCACGAACUUAAACUGGUCAUUGUCUUUGAUAUGCUGAGACUUUUUGAGACCAUUUCUUUUGUGAUUUUCGAUUUUGAGGGUGGGAAUUAAGCAUUUCGGUUUCAACAGUGAUGAAAUUUCUUUUUUGCAUUUAUGGAUUGAUGAAUUAAAUGUAUGUCAAUGAAGGAAUAACUUGACUUGCUGGUUUGUCUUUUGCGAGCACUUUUGCAAGUGGUCCUUAACUUUUUGUGAAGACUGUAGUAAAAAGUAGCACACAACAGAUAUGAAAAUGCUGUAAAAACAAACAUGUAUUCUCAUUUGGGUAACAUUGUUCUAGCAUUGUCUUCAUAUGUGUGGCAUCACGGUAAAAUCAGGCACUUGUCAAAAUAAUGAAAUUAAAGAAAACAGCAUUUUUCCUCCAG
Long non-coding RNA from Aplysia californica (California sea hare), 2274 nucleotides. RefSeq lists it as uncharacterized. Lineage: Eukaryota; Metazoa; Mollusca; Gastropoda; Aplysiida; Aplysiidae. The record is from RefSeq and is a predicted model, not a curated record. The transcript has 2 exons.